CCUACGGGUGGCAGCAGUGAGGAAUAUUGGUCAAUGGGCGGAAGCCUGAACCAUCCAAGUAGCGUGCAGGAUGACGGCCCUACUGGUUGUAAACUGCUUUUAUACGGGAAUAACACGCCUUACGUGUAAGGCUUUUCGUGUACCGUAUGAAUAAGACCCGGCUAAUUCCGUGCCCGCAGCCGCGGUAAUCCGGAAGGUCCGGGUGUUCUCCGGAUUUAUUGGGGUUAAAGGUAGCGUAGGCCGCAUGUCAAGCGUGCUGUGAAAGGUCCGGGCUAAACCCGGGCCGUGCAGCGCGAACGGGGGUGCUUGAGGCCGUGGAAAGCAGGAGGAAU
Molecule: ribosomal RNA, 332 nt
Filed under: uncultured bacterium
Lineage: Bacteria
Description: partial 16S ribosomal RNA
Rfam family: Bacterial small subunit ribosomal RNA
Source: RNAcentral